AUGGAGCGUGCAGGGGAAGAAGAUGACACAGGGAGUGGAAGCAGGAGGAGGAGCAGGAGCAGGGGUGGAUCAGAUGCAACGUCGACCAUGAGCGACGGCGGCACCACGGCGGUCAAGCAGCACCAGGCUCUGAGGCUCGUGGAGGACCUCUCCCUCCCUUCGGUGCAGGUGGUGGUGAUGAGCGCCAACAUGGGCUGCUCCCACUGCCGACAGCGGGUCACCAAGGUCGUCACCAAGAUGAACGCAGGGCUGCUGGAUUACAUGGUGGAUUUCGGGAAGAAGGAGGUGACGGUGAGGGGCACCGUAAUUCACACCAAGAAGAAGAAGAGGAAGAAGCAGCAGCAGUACAUGAUCACUGGGCUGGAGAAGGUGCCGCCUGCUAACAUGGGCGCCAGGACGCUCUCCUGGUUUUUGGGAUGCUACGGUUCAUAG
Molecule: ribosomal RNA, 432 nt
Filed under: Triticum aestivum (bread wheat)
Lineage: Eukaryota; Viridiplantae; Streptophyta; Magnoliopsida; Poales; Poaceae
Description: partial small subunit ribosomal RNA
Source: RNAcentral